RNAcentral lists this ribosomal RNA (329 nucleotides) under uncultured soil bacterium. RNAcentral's name for it is "bacterial SSU rRNA". It matches the Rfam family "Bacterial small subunit ribosomal RNA", at positions 26 to 379 of the family's 1533-position model. The record is from RNAcentral.
AGAACGAACGCUGGCGGCAUGCCUAACACAUGCAAGUCGAACGAGACCUUCGGGUCUAGUGGCGCACGGGUGCGUAACGCGUGGGAAUCUGCCCUUGGGUUCGGAAUAACAGCGAGAAAUUGCUGCUAAUACCGGAUGAUGACGUAAGUCCAAAGAUUUAAUCGGCCCAAGGAUGAGCCCGCGUAGGAUUAGCUUGUUGGUGAGGUAAGAGCUCACCAAGGCGACGAUCCUUAGCUGGUCUGAGAGGAUGAUCAGCCACACUGGGACUGAGACACGGCCCAGACUCCGUACGGGAGGCAGCCAGUGGGGAAUAGUUGGAACAAGUGGGA